RNAcentral lists this ribosomal RNA (1313 nucleotides) under Nocardia sp. Its description in RNAcentral is "bacterial SSU rRNA". It matches the Rfam family "Bacterial small subunit ribosomal RNA", at positions 94 to 1420 of the family's 1533-position model. The record is from RNAcentral. Lineage: Bacteria; Bacillati; Actinomycetota; Actinomycetes; Mycobacteriales; Nocardiaceae.
AGCGGCGAACGGGUGAGUAACACGUGGGUGAUCUGCCUUGCACUUCGGGAUAAGCCUGGGAAACUGGGUCUAAUACCGGAUAUGACCCCGGAAUGCAUGUUCUGGGGUGGAAAGAUUUAUCGGUGCGAGAUGGGCCCGCGGCCUAUCAGCUUGUUGGUGAGGUAACGGCUCACCAAGGCGACGACGGGUAGCCGACCUGAGAGGGUGACCGGCCACACUGGGACUGAGACACGGCCCAGACUCCUACGGGAGGCAGCAGUGGGGAAUAUUGCACAAUGGGCGCAAGCCUGAUGCAGCGACGCCGCGUGCGGGAUGACGGCCUUCGGGUUGUAAACCGCUUUUGACAGGGACGAAGCGCAAGUGACUGUACCUGUAGAAUAAGGACCGGCCAACUACGUGCCAGCAGCCGCGGUAAUACGUAGGGUCCGAGCGUUGUCCGGAAUUACUGGGCGUAAAGAGCUUGUAGGCGGUUCGUCGCGUCGUUUGUGAAAACUUGGGGCUCAACCUUAAGCUUGCAGGCGAUACGGGCGGACUAGAGUACUUCAGGGGAGACUGGAAUUCCUGGUGUAGCGGUGAAAUGCGCAGAUAUCAGGAGGAACACCGGUGGCGAAGGCGGGUCUCUGGGAAGUAACUGACGCUGAGAAGCGAAAGCAUGGGUAGCAAACAGGAUUAGAUACCCUGGUAGUCCAUGCCGUAAACGGUGGGUACUAGGUGUGGGGCUCCUUCCACGGACUCCGUGCCGUAGCUAACGCAUUAAGUACCCCGCCUGGGGAGUACGGCCGCAAGGCUAAAACUCAAAGAAAUUGACGGGGGCCCGCACAAGCGGCGGAGCAUGUGGAUUAAUUCGAUGCAACGCGAAGAACCUUACCUGGGUUUGACAUACACCGGAAACCUGCAGAGAUGUAGGCCCCCUUGUGGUCGGUGUACAGGUGGUGCAUGGCUGUCGUCAGCUCGUGUCGUGAGAUGUUGGGUUAAGUCCCGCAACGAGCGCAACCCUUAUCUUAUGUUGCCAGCGCGUAAUGGCGGGGACUCGUGAGAGACUGCCGGGGUCAACUCGGAGGAAGGUGGGGACGACGUCAAGUCAUCAUGCCCCUUAUGUCCAGGGCUUCACACAUGCUACAAUGGCCGGUACAGAGGGCUGCGAUACCGCGAGGUGGAGCGAAUCCCUUAAAGCCGGUCUCAGUUCGGAUCGGGGUCUGCAACUCGACCCCGUGAAGUUGGAGUCGCUAGUAAUCGCAGAUCAGCAACGCUGCGGUGAAUACGUUCCCGGGCCUUGUACACACCGCCCGUCACGUCAUGAAAGUCGGUAACAC